This 406-nucleotide ribosomal RNA is filed under the name uncultured bacterium. Its description in RNAcentral is "partial 16S ribosomal RNA". It matches the Rfam family "Bacterial small subunit ribosomal RNA", at positions 29 to 526 of the family's 1533-position model. The record is from RNAcentral.
AGUGAACGCUGGCGGUAGGCCUAACACAUGCAAGUCGAACGAGUGGCGGACGGGUGAGGAAUACAUCGGAAUCUCCUCUGUCGUGGGGGAUAAAGUUGGGAAAGUUACGCUAAUACCGCAUACGGUUGGAUGAGCCGAUGUCGGAUUAGCUAGUUGGCGGGGUAAAGGCGCACCAGGGCGACGCUCCGGAGCUGGUCUGAGAGGAUGAUAAGCCACACUGGAACAGAGACACGGUCCAGACUCCUACGGGAGGCAGCAGUGGGGAAUAUUGGGCAAUGGGCGCAAGCCUGAUCCAGCCAUACCGCGUGGGUGAAGAAGGCCUUCGGGUUGUAAAGCCCUUUUGUUGGGAAAGCGGUACCAACAGAAUAAGCACCGGCUAACUUCGUGCCAGCAGCCGCGGUAAUUC